Molecule: ribosomal RNA, 492 nt
Filed under: uncultured bacterium
Lineage: Bacteria
Description: partial 16S ribosomal RNA
Rfam family: Bacterial small subunit ribosomal RNA
Source: RNAcentral
AUUGAACGCUGGCGGCAUGCUUUACACAUGCAAGUCGAACGGUAACAGGCCUUCGGGUUCUGACGAGUGGCGGACGGGGGAGUAAUGCAUCGGAACGUGCCCAGAGGUGGGGGAUAACGCAGCGAAAGCUGUGCUAAUACCGCAUGUGAUCUGAGGAUGAAAGCGGGGGACCAGGCAGCAAUGUUUGGCCUCGCGCCUUUGGAGCGGCCGAUGUCAGAUUAGGUAGUUGGUGGGGUAAAGGCCUACCAAGCCGACGAUCUGUAGCUGGUCUGAGAGGACGACCAGCCACACUGGGACUGAGACACGGCCCAGACUCCUACGGGAGGCAGCAGUGGGGAAUUUUGGACAAUGGGCGCAAGCCUGAUCCAGCAAUGCCGCGUGCGGGAAGAAGGCCUUCGGGUUGUAAACCGCUUUUGUACGGAACGAAAAGGCUCUGGCUAAUACCUGGGGCUGAUGACGGUACCGAAAGAAUAAGCACCGGCUAACUACGUG